AGCUCUGCUGGUUCCCUUGGGAGAACGCUGUGGGGCGGUAUCGGCCCUCCUCCUUCUCCUCUGCCCCACCCGCCAAACAUCAGAACAUCCACAAUAACAACAACAAGCCCAGAAACUGACCACCACGGUACAAAUUGGAGGAAGUCAAGAUGGUUUGGGGGUGAUGGUGGAGAAUGGGGGCUCCCCAUUCCUGCAGCCCCUUCCUGUUUGAUGUAGAGCACUGCCACUGGACAGUUCGGCCUGGCUGGUAGUUCUUUGAAGAAAGAGAGUCGUCUUCAACAACUGCCGUGGGGAAAGCAUCUACAGAAGAACUUUGUCAAUUGCCAGCUUUCAAAGACAACUCUGAAAGGCCAUUCCUGUUCCAUGCAUUUGAAGAGGAGCACUUUUUCUAGAUUUACCACGGACUUGCCCACUCAAGCUUCAGCUACUUUAUUAUACCAUUAGAUCAGAUAGGCAGACAUGAAAUGUACUUAUUUGUUUAUAUUUCUCCUGUACUUCCCAAAGUAGCUUCUAAUAAACAUGCUUUUAAAAACCA
Molecule: long non-coding RNA, 535 nt
Organism: Ahaetulla prasina
Lineage: Eukaryota; Metazoa; Chordata; Lepidosauria; Squamata; Colubridae
Exons: 3
Source: RefSeq, a predicted model, not a curated record